RNAcentral lists this long non-coding RNA (5144 nucleotides) under Olea europaea subsp. europaea. Lineage: Eukaryota; Viridiplantae; Streptophyta; Magnoliopsida; Lamiales; Oleaceae. The record is from RNAcentral.
GUCAAAGUAGAUUGUAAAAAGAUAAAAAACAACUAUUUUUUUGGGGGGAAAAAUAAAGCUAAAAUUUUGUGGGGUCAUUGGUCCCCACAUGAAUGUCCCCAUGUCCUUUCAUGCCCAUAGUUGCUAGUAACCAUAGAUAUACAUAUAGGAUUGUGUAUUCGAGGGUCCAAGAAGCAGUUGGACAAUGACCCAGUACUCAUCAUGCACAUUCUGACUACAAGUAUCCGAUGCUUUUUUUGCCAGGGAAAAUUACAUGGAGACAUGUUUUUCAAGUUUCAACUUCAAAAAUCACGUUUUAAGCUUUGUUUUACAAAAAUCAGAUGAUAAUUUAACUUUUUAAUAUUAAAAUAAUAAUAUCAUAAAAUUUAAUUAAUAAACCACCCCCAAAUCGAAAUUUUGCUGAAUUAUAUCGUAUUCCCCCUCUCCCCUCUCUCUCUCCCCACAUUGGCGUUGCAUCACGGUGGAGAGCACUAUUGUGUGCAACGGCGAAGAGCACUAUUACGCCAGAGUGAGAGCCUGAAGUGGCGAUUCUGUCAUAGUUACUCUUUGAGCGGCGUAGUACUCAUUGCUGUUGCUACAUACACCAGGCAUUUUGGGGCUUGUUGCAGUGCAAGGAGGGAUUUGUGUUGGAGAUUCAGGGAUUUUCAUGGGAGGAGCUUAUUGUGCAAUAAUUGAGGUUUGUGGUGUGGAAAUGGGCAGAGGUAGUGAAGUGGUGAUGACGGCCGGUAGUUUUGGUUGUUUUCGCGGCAUUGGCGGAUCGAGAACAUCCUUGCAAAACUGGUAUUCAAUUAUUCCGAUCUUGUCUCACCACGGCCAUGAAAUUGAGUUUGUGGUGAUGGUGGCUUUUGAUUUGAUGUAGAUAUGGUGGUGGUGGUGCUUGUGGAUUGGGGAACAAGUGGUGGUGAUGAUGGUGGCGGUGGUGCUUGUGGCCUAGGUAGUACCUUGCAGGAGGUGAUAUAUUUAAGGUUGUCCACGACAUAUUUAUUGUUGGAUCUUUAACGUGGUGGCAGUGGUGCGGUGAUGUGGGUGGUGGUGGUUAGGAUUUGUUGAAAGUGACGGUGGUGUGCAUUUGGUUGAUGUUGUUGGAGUGGUGGUAGCGACGAUGAAAAUCUAGUAUGAUCGAGUCUAUAUCCAUUGUGAGUGUCCGUGCCAGAUCUAUAAUAAUUGUGACUGUAUGUAACUUGGUUACAUAUAGUCACAAAUUAAAUUGAUAUGGUCACAAAUAGUCAAACUAGAGACAGAAUUGGUCACAAUUAGUCACAGAUAAGAAAGGUCAGUGAAUGUUGUAAAAUUGGAGGUGAAGGUAGUAGUGACUGGUAGUGGAUUGUGGUACUGGGAUACGGUGUGUGAAGAUUUGUUUAUGGUGACUCUUUGAGGUCAAGUAUGUGUUUAUUGUGAAAAUUGUGACUAAUUCUGUAUUAACUGUGAUCGAUUGUGACUUGAUCACAUACUGCCACAGUAAAUAUUGAAUUGGUCACAGACAGUCACACUGAAUACAAAUUUAAUCACAGUUAGUCACAGACAACACAUUUCGGUGACACACUGACUUGGUCAGAGACGAUCUGGCCAUAGUUAGUCACAGAUACACACAAGUAUGGUCACAAACUAUAAAUCUAAUUACAUAUAAAACAAUUAAUUACAAAACCUGUCAACUACAAUAUAACACUACUGCCAUCAUGCAGUACUCAAAAUGUUGUUAACACCUCACCACCACCACCACCAAACAGAUUAACUGCAAUGCAACUUCAUUACCUCCAAUGCAUUAUCUCUGCCAAAAUACAGAUCUAUUUUUUAAACACAGCUCCACCUUACCACCACAACCACCAUCUGUAAAGUUUUGUGUUUGAAUUCUGUUCCUUUGUUUGUUUUAGUUCUUGUGAAUGAAUUUAUUUCUGGUUUGCCACUGGUAUUGAAACAAUGUAGAACCACCCAAAAGAGAAACCUAGAAAAUCUUCUAUUUUAUCUCGUUGGUGAGUGCACUCUUACGUAUUUCAAUUUGACUUUAUUUUCAAGAAAUUAUGUUGUGCUGGGUGUAAUUUAAUUUUGUAAAUUCCUCAAGUGUUUUUCAACAUUAAUUACUUCAAAAUGGGAUCAAUUGUGGUUUUUAUUUUUCUUUAUCAUUACUACAAGGUUCCUUUUAAGAACUUUUAGUAUGCUAAUUUUGUGGGCAAUGAGUUAAUUUAUUUAUAUUUUUUGUAUUACUGCUUCACUUGACAUGUUAAUGUCGAUGAUUCAUAAAGACGGUAUGGGAGAUAUUUCUCAUGGCUUGGGGUGAGAAUUGCAUAUGGGUGGUGUAGAGGUUGAUAGUUCUAUAAUUUAAAUGGAUUUCUUUUUAUAAUAUACAUAUUUUUUGGUGUUGGAUUGCAUCAAUUGAGUCCUUAGUUGAAAAGGGGUGUGCAAUAAAGGCAAGGAAAUGAACAAGCCCUUUCAUUUUGAGUAAAUAAUCAUUGAUUGACUAAGAAUCCUUCUUUGUAUGUUUCAAAUUUGUCUUCAAAUGCAAGAUUUCCCACAAAAUAUAAGGCGGAAUCAACAGGUCAAAGGUGGUGGAGUCGAUGAUGUUGUUUCUUGUAGGUUGGUCGAUAGAUAGAAGCAGUCGAUGAUGAUGGUUUCUUACUCUUUUUUGUCCUUUUUUUCCCUUUAGUUUAUAAAAGGUUUCAAGAAUUUGUUUUAUUUACGUUUCUCUUACUACUUUUAUAGUUAAAACUGAAUUUAUUGAAGAUAUUUCAACCUUUGUAAAUCACUCUCCAUGAGCCUGUACCUAUAGAUUUAUGCCUUGUAUUGAUGGGUAAAGAUAACUUUCUAAUUCUUACAUUUCUAAUUGUAGAUAGUUGGGGGUGACAUAAGUAUUUAUAUCUCAAAUUUCCUUUUUUUCUUUCGGACAGUUGAUUUUAUGGAAGUUCACCGGUUUAUUUAAUAGGAGUCACCUACAAUACCGGUAGAAAUUAGAAGAACAAAUGGAAGGAAUUAGUUGACUGACUUCGCAUCAUAUUACUUGGUAUUGCCCUAAUACUUUUAUUUUGAGCGAACGGUGCAAGUUAUAGUGUAUAAGCCUUGGGAGAUAUUGUGCACUGAUUCUUAAGCAGGAUUUCAGCAAGGGAUAUGAUGGAAAGGAUGUUGUGCAAAAUCUACGCCAAGCUUGCUUUUUAAGAUAGCCAAUAAAAGUGGAAAACUAUGGCUUGAGUGGGAUUAUGUCGCAUAUUUUGCAAUCUGCUAUCCUAUGAAGGAGAACAAAUACAGUAAAGAUUGUGUAGAUGAAGUAAUCCGUUCACUUUGUAUGUUACAAUUCCUGUUUAUCAAUGUUUUAAUCAACCAACAAAAAAAAAAUUAAAUUAAAUUAAAGCAUGCAGUAUAAUGUAUGUUUACAUGAAUAUUCAUUUUCAUUUUGUAGAUGAGUUGAUGUGACCAAAAUCCUGUAUACUAUAAUGGAUACCAACAUUAACCAUACUGCAUCAUUUUAUUAUCACUAAGUGUCGUCAUUUGUCACUGUUUUAUUUUAAUUAUUUAAUUUUUUUCUCUUUUGAGAAUGAGAAAUCACAUCCAUUGUUCUUAAAUUGUUAGUUAACUACAAGGCUUAGGGAUUUAACAGUUAUGGCUGCUUAGAGUAAGCUGGAUGGUUGUUUACUGCUGUAGUAAUGGUUUUUUCCUAUUCGUAUUGCUUGUAGUUCUUGAAAUUAUGUUGAUUGAUGUGUAUUUAUCACCCUUAAAUUUUAAUUUCAUCUAAAUGCCUGCUGUAUCUUAUAAUGAGUUGUAUCCGUGUGAAACUGGUGACAUGGAUUAACCUUGGAUUUCGAUCAUAUUUCAUACAUUAUCGAUCAUCUAAAUGCUUGUAACCUGCUAGCUGGAAGUUGCAAUUGAAGGUGAGAUGGGGGAAGGUAUGAAAAUGAAGCUCUCAUCUCUCUAUUUUUAGAUGAUGAAAAGAUUACAAAAUCAGUUAAUAUCUUUGCAGAAUAUGGUAUCGCUAGAUAAAUAGAAGAUGUCAUAAUCUUCUAGAAUGUCAAAAAUAGAUGGCAUGGUUAAUAGACUUCACAUGAUGGUCUUUAAGCACCAAUGUUCCCAUCAAAUCUGCUCAAGAUACUAUUGACAUGCUAAAAAAUCAUUACCCUGAAAGACUAGCCAUGGAAUUUUUUACAAACCCCCAUGUAUAUUUGAAGCAUUUUGGAAGGUUUUCCAUUUUCCUUUUAUAAUCAUUGAUUUUAUUUUCUGAUCUUUAGGUAAUGAGAGAGUAGACUUUGCAUUAUGGGUUUCUUUUUUGUUGGAUUACAUGGGAUAACUGAAGCAUUCUUUUACAACGGUUAGAAUCAUCUUUUUAGUCGUGGUUUACUUCGUGAGGAAGGGAAUAUGUUGGAUUAGAACUUAGGACUAUACUACAUUAAAUUAAUUUUGUAUGUGCAGAUCUCAGUUAGGAAAUUUUACGUUUUUAUACUACAAUUUAUUCAUUUUCAUUAGGUAAAGAAUUGACCUUUCCUCCAUACUAAUUUAGAAAUGCUCUUUUAUUGCAGGUUGUAAAAUACUUUUUGAAUGCAAAAUCAUUCUAGAAUGUAAAUUUCUCUACCCAAAAAACAAAGAAAAUCAUGAGAUCCUAUUUUGAUGUAGACAAUCUUCCAGCUGAGUUCAGAGGUAAAGUCGUACUGGCUUUACUACAACCACGUGGAUAAAGCUUGAGAACAGUGUAAAAACAGUAGGUAUUGUAUUACUCCUGUUAUAGAUCUAUACGCAUAUUAGAGUUAAUGUUUAUCCAUCACUUCAAAUGCACUUUAUGAUAUGCAUUAUCUUUCAGUUACUUUGGCUGUACUUGGUGAGAAGACCGCAGUUAUGUCACCUAAAAUACUUGUUAAUGCCGUUGUUCCAUGCUGCAAACAGCAAUUUAAUAUGGUAUCUUAUUCUUUUAUAUUGUUUGCUCGCUACAACUUAAUUUCACUCGCUUCAGGAAGAGGCCCACAUUGCCAAAUUCUCUUAUUUUCUGCUACUCUUAGACUAUGUUAUGUAUUCUUUCACCAAUUUAAGAAAUUAAACAAAGGUAAACUGAGUUAUAUAUAACCGAUGGAGCAGCUCUCAUCCAGCCUAUUAAAUUCAACCUUCCUCCAAUGUUGCCUCCAUCAUUUCUCUGAUCAACCUGUACUGUGCUCCUGAUUAAUAGAUCCCUG